CAAGUGACCCCGGUCUAACCACCGGGAUGUUCAUAACCCUUUGUUGUCCGACUCUGUUGCCCUCGGGGCGACCCUGCCUUCGGGCGGGGGCUCCGGGUGGACACUUUCAAACUCUUGCGUAACUUUGCAGGCUGAGUAAACUUAAUUAAUAAAUAUA
This 157-nucleotide unclassified non-coding RNA is filed under the name soil metagenome. Its description in RNAcentral is "partial internal transcribed spacer 1". The record is from RNAcentral.